UCGCCUGUUUAUCAAAAACAUUUCCUCUGGAGGAAAUGAGAGGUAAGACCUGCCCCCUGAAAAUUAAAUGGCCGCGGUAUUUUGACCGUGCAAAGGUAGCAUAAUCAUUAGUCCUUUAAUUGAGGACUGGAAUGAAUGGUUAAACGAGAAAUGAGCUGUCUCCUUUUUAUAGACGGAAGUUUAUUUUAUAGUGAAAAAGCUAUAAUAUGGUAGGAGGACGAGAAGACCCUAUAGAUCUUUAUAAAUAACCCCCGUUAAAUUGGGAAAGGUUUUAGCGGUAAUAUGUUUAUUGAAUUGGGGUGAUGGUAGAGUAAGUAAACCUCUACAGAUAACCCACUAAUGCGUGCGUAUAGGAUCUAAGGGAAAAAGAGAAUAAGUUACCUUAGGGAUAACAGCGUGAUCCUCUUGAAGAGUUCAAAUCGAUAAGAGGGGUUGCGACCUCGAUGUUGGAUUAGAAAGAAUUACGGGGCAGCCCCUGUAAGGUUAGGUCUGUUCGACCAUUAAAUUUCUACAUGAUCUGAGUUCAAACCGGAGAUUU
Molecule: ribosomal RNA, 538 nt
Filed under: Yaurina mota
Lineage: Eukaryota; Metazoa; Arthropoda; Insecta; Ephemeroptera; Leptohyphidae
Description: partial 16S ribosomal RNA
Rfam family: Bacterial large subunit ribosomal RNA
Source: RNAcentral